Molecule: RNA transcript, 2602 nt
Organism: Cyprinus carpio (common carp)
Lineage: Eukaryota; Metazoa; Chordata; Actinopteri; Cypriniformes; Cyprinidae
Gene name: UPF0538 protein C2orf76 homolog
Exons: 6
Source: RefSeq, a predicted model, not a curated record
CAGUUACUAUGCAACUUCCUGUCAGUCCGCUGGGAAAUAAGCUUCCGGAUUCAGAAUCUCAUGCAAAAACAGCUAAGCCAUAUUUUCUGAAGAUCGUGAUUUUGACAUUUUAUUUCAUUCUUAGAAGAUUUUUUUAUUCAUCUCAAUUGGAUAAUGUCCAAAUUAUAACAGAUAUUUAAUUUGCAUUCAAUUUUUGACAAGGAUAAAUAGAGAUAUAAAUUAGUAUUUAAUGCAGUAGAAAACAAUAGGCUACUCAUAAAGCAAGCCAUAGAAUAUAAACAUAACGGUUUGCUUUGGACUGUGGAGACAUUUAUUUUUCGUUCCCGCAUUGAAUGUGUUGCAUGCUGAAUAUGUAGGCCUAUCUAUUGUUCAGCAGCUCUAUUGCUUUUGCCUGAUGCUGCUGUUACCUGACAUACACCUUGGCUGUUUUUGUCUAUAAUUGCAUUUCUCAGAACAUGCUGGAAGAAAACGAUUCGAUAUUAGUUUUAUAAUUACAGAAGUACGAUAAAAUAGCGAAGUGGGCGCGUCUGCUCUACUAUCUUAAAUUUUAUUUCGUUCUAGGCUUAUUUUUUAAUAAUCCUGUCUGGCCUCUGCAUGUUUAGUCCGUGUGGUUUGUAAUGUGAUCGGCUCGAGAUGUGUGAAAGUGCGGUUCUGGCAGUGCGCCUGGUUCGAUCUUUUGAGCAUCGCAACUUUAAACCGGUGUUUUACAAAGACGUUAGUUUAGAUCAGACGGUGGAGGAGUUUAUUACAUUUGUUAAGCAAGAAGUUUCAACAAGAGCUGGAUUGCCUCUGCCCUUUAAGAAGUUUGAUUAUGACACAAUGAAAAUCAUACAUGGUGCAAAGACGAAUGAGCUUGUAAUGAGUUUAGAGGAUGAUGAAAAGUUGAUUCUUCGUGAUGGCUGCAGGUUACAAGCAUGUGGUGUUGCCAAUGAUACAGAAGUUGCAUUCUUCAGAAUGGCUGACUAUGAAAAGUUCAAAGCCAAUCCAAAGACAGAAUGGUGAUGCGAUCAGGAUGCAACACAAGAGGUCUUGGAGUAUUUUUUCUUCAGAGGCAAGCAAGUGUGAAAAGCUCAUCAGGUGGGAUUGAACCAUCUAUUUUAUUUUCUUUCAUAGCUAUACUUUUUAUAUUUAUUCUUACCAUUCAAAUACCUUAAGCAUUGUUUGACAAAUUUUGAAGGGAGAUGUUUUCAUGUUGUCAAGCGUAAUUAUUUUGUUAGGUAAGAAUACUGUACAUUUCAGUGCCAAAAUCUGCAUUUUGAAUGCCAAUUAUUUUAUAUUUUUUAUUUCAUUUAUAACAAAUCAGGUGCCAAAUAUUUUGUUUCGUUUAAAUGACACCUUGGAAGUUGAUUGCCAUUUUGUUAAAUAAAGUUGAAGAUAUGAAUCAUGUUUUCGCAACACUUGAUUAAAAGUUAAAUUCAAAACUUCCUUACCAUAGCUCGUCCACAAUAACAACAGCCAAUCAGUCAAACCAAGGAAACGAAGUACAACUAAAAAUGUAUUAAUACUUAAUGCGUUUUUUUUUUUUUGUGCACAUGCAGUCAUGGUAUGGUCAUUAUUGAUGCUCAGUAUAAUGUUGGCCUUCCUGUUACAGAUGGAGUUUGCAAAUUGAGUUUACACAGUAACUGGCCCUCAGGACAAUCAUGUGAGACCUCUAUGGUAUUCCAUUAGGCACCACAUGGUGGUGCUGUAAAACUGGACAGUUGCGUUUACUCUCCCAUCCUCUGCGGAUUCGUGUCAGUCUGGUGAAGAUGCAUGGCAGAAGCAGGAAGCAACGGGACACCAGAACAAUGCAGGGUAGAACGACAGCCAAUAAGUAGCUUGGCGGCAUGUAGAAUGAAUAUGCCUCAAUGUGGAAGGCAAAAUCCCAGCCAAAGAAGAGCGUGUGCAUGAUGGACAGAGUCAGAGCAAUGUAGCCCAAACCAGACUAAAGGAAGAAAAGAGAGAAAACUUUAUUCAAAAAGCUAAGAUUGUGCUUUUGGGUUGAAUUGCUAAUUUGCAUGCUAAUCAAAGACAUUGUCAAAAUGAUGUACAUUUGAAAUGUUGCGCUGAUAUUGACUAUCUGGUCAAUAUCAGAGCAACAUUUCCAUGUUUUCUCCUAGCCUAAAAAUCAACUAUCAAUUAAUUGUUGCACCAAAACUAGCUAGACAUGACUUACAUCAACAUGUAAUGUGACAGAUCAGGUGCACCAUGCACAUUAGAAAUUCAGGUACCAGGUAUAAACUAGGCCUGUAAGAUUGUUUGGAAUAGCAUGUACAGGAUUUGUUCAACCCUGCUCCUGGUGAACCAGACCAUUUCUGAAUAUGCAUUCCUAUGUGAGCUUGCAUCCUUGUGUUCUCGUUCUAAUGUCACGAUCAGCUGCUGAAGUUCAGUUCAAAUACUCAAGAAAGCAAGUACCAAGGACACAUGAAAUUACCUGGUUACCAAUAUUGAGGAUGCAUCGCAUGAAGACUUAAGAGAAUUAGAAAUCCCAGAAGUCUUUUGGGGGUGGACGACAUAUGGUUUUAAAAGAUCAUGACAUCUGUAAUGUUUUUUUACCGGGACUGUCAGUUGAGCAACAAGAUUACAACACAUCUCAAUUCUCACAAAUAUGCGCUUUGUGUUC